UACGGAGGGGGCUAGCGUUGUUCGGAAUUACUGGGCGUAAAGCGCACGUAGGCGGACCAGCAAGUUGGGGGUGAAAUCCCGGGGCUCAACCCCGGAACUGCCUUCAAAACUGCGGGUCUGGAGGUCGAGAGAGGUGAGUGGAAUUCCGAGUGUAGAGGUGAAAUUCGUAGAUAUUCGGAGGAACACCAGUGGCGAAGGCGGCUCACUGGCUCGAUCACUGACGCUGAGGUGCGAAAGCGUGGGGAGCAAACAGG
RNAcentral lists this ribosomal RNA (254 nucleotides) under uncultured bacterium. RNAcentral's name for it is "partial 16S ribosomal RNA". It matches the Rfam family "Bacterial small subunit ribosomal RNA", at positions 524 to 776 of the family's 1533-position model. The record is from RNAcentral.